This 35663-nucleotide long non-coding RNA is filed under the name Nicotiana tabacum (common tobacco). RNAcentral describes it as "long non-coding RNA (NTAB_LNC015667)". The stretch from base 1583 to 1653 matches the Rfam family "tRNA". Lineage: Eukaryota; Viridiplantae; Streptophyta; Magnoliopsida; Solanales; Solanaceae. The record is from RNAcentral.
UGUCUCGUACGGCUCUUCCUAAGAACUUGAAGCCCCCUCUCUCUAAAUAGAAAAAAAUGCAUUUACAAGACAAAAAAGACUUUUUCAAAAAGCCUUCGCCCUCCUAUUCAACGGGGCUAUUAGAGAAGCAGCUUCGUUCCUAAAAGAAGAAGGUGGACCCCCUCUCCGUCGAAAGAAAUGAGAUUAUCGCAGAUACACACAUUAAAAAUAUUAACCAAAUUUGCCCGACGUAGAGGCAAUCAAGCUGAGGAACGAAGCUUCGUGUUUGUUUUUCUUCAAACCCCCAAUCCGCUCUCGCUCGCCGCUACUAACGGGGUCUCGGUUGAUUUCCCUUCCUUUAGCUACUAAGAUGUUUCAGUUCGCUAAGUUUUCUACAUUGAAGAAAGAAUCGAAUAUUCAUUGAUCNNNNNNNNNNNNNNNNNNNNNNNNNGAUUCUGAUGGCUUGGCUUCCAUUUGAACUGAUUUCAAUAAUCCUUUUAGUUGCUUUAAUAGGUGCAAUUGCUGUAGCUCGUCAAUAAAAAAUUUCUAUUAAAACUUGGAAUAACAACAAUUCAUCAAAGAAAAAAGAGAAGGAAAGCAAAAGAGACAGAGUCCAAACGCUUGAAGCUCAAUCUCUCCCCCGGAUGAACCAUAUAGCCAAGGACUCCUUACAAGCGUUGUUUCUAUCUACUAUUAUCUAAAAAUAAUAAAGUUAUUAAUGACUGGACGAAACUGGCGGAGCGGCAUACCGGAAGAAAUUGGAAGAUCGACGACGGAAAGCUGCACAGGAAAGGCCCAAAGCCAAUCCCAGGGAACAGUGAAGCUUCAUAGGGUCUUUCUGUCCAGGUGCAGGUAGUCCGCAGGGCUAGUGACUGGAUCACCUAAAGGAGGUGAUCCAGCCGCACCUUCCAGUACGGCUACCUUGUUACGACUUCACUCCAGUGCAGUUCCUUCUUGAGCCUUUUCUUUUUGACUCCUACCGAAGCAAGCCUCUCAAGUGCUGACCUUUCUUCCCACCUUUGAGCGAAGCAAGCCUCUCAAGUGCUGACUAGUACGCUGUCGGAGUGAGACCGGGGUGGCAGAGGUCCAGGAUUCGAGUCUUGCCGCCACUUAUUAACAGUGGAGGUAGGAGAUCCAGUUAACGAAAAGGCUAGGCUGCAGCUAUUCAAGCAUCUCAAAGUCUUGAAUUCCCCCUGAAAGCGAGAACGCACUAUAUGCCUUUAAAAUAAAAAGAAGGCUGGAAAAAAGAGAGAGCUCCUUUCUUUUCUAGCUUUGGCGGGAGGAAUGAAAAUCCUAUCCUAUACGAAGGCCUAUAUACAAACACGAGGGUUGCGCUCGUUGCGGGACUUAACCCAACACCUUACGGCACGAGCUGACGACAGCCAUUGGGGUUCGCGUUGGUGGAGGAACUGGAUCGGAAGACGAUUCUAUCCAAUCACAACCUCGCCAAGUCUCUAAUCAGGGGCUCCAUCAUGUUAGCCAAUACGAAGAGUGGCUGUUCUGUUAAUAGAGUAUAUCACAGCUAAUGCACUUCACAUCCGAUUCUUUCUGUUUUUUUUUUCAAACAAAAAGUUAAAAUACGAAAAAAAAAUCAGAAUGAAAAGCGUCCAUUGUCUAAUGGAUAGGACAGAGGUCUUCUAAACCUUUGGUAUAGGUUCAAAUCCUAUUGGACCAUUUUUGGAUCACUUUUUUCGGGGUUAAUAUGACCUUCUUUCCUAUGUCUUGCAUUGUUGGUUCAUGCAUGAACUGUAGAUUUCACCGUUAUUUCUUCAUUUAUCUGGUGAGUCGAUUGUUUUCCCAUUUUGAUUAAUCCAUUAAUUUAAGUGUGUUCAUUUGAGAGUCCUUCUUGUUCUAAUCUUCUAAUUAGGUUUUGGUUCGAUUUUUAAUCUGGUUUAAUUCUAGUUUAUUUAGUUUAGCCUAAUAAAUUGUUUAUUCAGUCAUGUUUUGAUUUUGAAAUCAUGUAAUGUUGGAUUUGCUUCCUUUUCUUCUUUUCGUGAACCACUAAAGUUGAUUUUGAUUUGGGUCAUUUCGUUUGAAUGGGCUUGGGGGUCAUCUCUGGCCCGGUUUCAAGUGAAGCCCGGUCACUUUGGGUUGGUUUUGGGUACUGGUUAAUUGGACCCAUGAGCCGUUGUUGCCUGAAUGUAAAUAACAGCGUUUUAAAGGGUACUUAGGGCAUUUUUAUUAGAGGAAUCUUUCACAACUACCUGGGAAACUUCCAUGAAGUUGGGGAAAGGGGCUGGUUUGGCAAACAGGUUUAAAACUUGGGGUUUGAAAUAAAAGAGAUAAAUCAAAGAAGGGGUAAUUGGUAAAACCUGAAACCCAUUCUGCUGCCCUAGAGGUCUUCUAUAAGAGGCCUGUUUUCUUUCUUUUCAAGGAGGAAUGGAGAGAAUACAAGAUAAAACCUUAGAAACGGCUGAAAACGUGUUAUGAAAAUAUAGAAGUUUAUGCACCAUUCUGAGGUCAAAUUGUUGGAAUUGGGUUUUCAAUCUGACUUUUAGCAGUAACCAAAGAGUUUGCACAACUUUUUUCUGAUUCUACUACUGCUGCUAAUUCCUCAUUCUCCUUAUUUUUCUUUAACUUCCAGGUAUCUUUUGGACUAUGGAUAACACAUGAAGUGUAACAUUGAAUUUGAAUGUGGAAAUAUGAUGAACACAACCUGUUUCUUGUUGAAUUUUACUUUCUAUAUUCUUCACUUUCAUUCACAUCCUGUACUAUUUUAAUUUUAGAUGCAUUGUUGUUAGUCUUUUCAUGUUAUAGAUAUGGUGCCAUAUUGUUAAGUUAAAAUUUUAGUUCCUCGGUGUCUCUUAUUAGUUGUUAGUUUGGUUUAAACUUGUCAUGGAUAGGGAAAAUGUUCUAGGCUAUUACACUAAGGGUCGAUCAAUAUGCUGAAUUUCUCUUGGUUUGCGUUUAAGCAUGUUUAAAGUUGGUUUGAUGUUUAAAUUCAGGUUUGUUUACAUGACAAUCUCAUGAGGUUUAUUUGCUAUUGUAUGUGUCAAAGAAGGGUUUAAUUGAGGUUUAAAUCUCACACAAUUGUAUAUAAGUUAGCUGGGGAUUGAAUUAAAUGUGAUUGUUGUACAACUAUGUAUUGAUGGAAGCCAAUCAGGCUCAUGUUGAUAUCCUUGGGUUUCAAAGGCUGUUUAUAUGCUGUAUCGACUCGAUCUCGAGUCCUACAUUCCCCAGCCUCUAUUUUUCGAAGAGAUUUGGUUUGUUCUCUGGGCUUAAACUUGGGGCCACUUGUAAAUGGGGAUUUAUAUGCUCUAUGGUGCUUGGGCUUGAUUUUCGAGCCCAACAUCUCAUUUAACUGCUACUGUCGGGUUUUGCCUACAACAAGCCUGGCCCAAACUCAUGAAAGCCUAGCGUAACUUCAGUAGUUAUGUAAAAAUGGCUUUAAAUCUUAAGUUAAAGUAUUUCUUUUGGUUAAAUUGAGGUGUGCCAUUUUCACCAUAUCACCCAUGGCCCUCAUAUAAUUUUUUAAUUUAGUGUUAAAUAAGCUUGAAUAAUGGUAAAUUGCUUUAAGCGCGUAAUGAUUAGGUCUAGAUUGCCUCCAAAAAACGCCUAUUUCCUUUUAGACUUGAGGCGUGCCAUAAGCAAAAUUAGAUAACCCAUGACCCUCAGACAACUAAUACUAACUCUUCUUAAAAUCGGGGUGUGCCAUCAGUUAAACUUUCCAUGGCCCGCGUAAACUUAGUUAUUAAUUUGAACUUUCGUAGUUUGCUUUAGGCGCGUUUUAUAAAUUGGUUUUCUUUUAUUUAUUAAUUUUGGGUGCACAUUUCAUGUUACCCGAAUUCAAUUCUUAACAAUGUUAAAUAGUACGUGUUGCGAACCGCGGGUACAUUUCAUGUGGCGUGGUUGAAGGCGUGUUUUAAAAAAAGUUGAAUCUUCUAAAAAUAAUUAAAAACGGUUAAAGAGUUAAAAAUGCACAAUAGGUUUAAAACGUGUAAAAAAUAGAUAAUUAGGCCAAUAAUAAUAGUUGAGCGACCGUGCUAGAACCAUGGAACCCGGGAAAGCCUAACACCUUCUCCCGGGUUAACAGAAUUCCUUACUCGAAUUUCUGUGCUCGCGGACUGUGAAACAGGGUCAAUCUUUUCUCGAUUCGGGAUUUGAACCGGUCACUUGGGACACCAUAAAUUAUCCCAAGUGACGACUCUGAAUUUUUUAAAUAAAUAAUCCCAUUUCGAUUUUCACUUAAAUUGGAAAAACCUCUCUUAUACCCUUCUGGGGGUAGUAAAAUGGAGGUGUGACAGUUCUGGCGACUCUGUUGGAGAUCAAACCCAGAAUCUCUCGUUCAUGGUUCAGAAUUCGAGCUUGGAAUAACUGUUAUAGUUGGCUUUUAUUUAUUAUCUGAUUUUUACGUGUUGGAACCUAAUGUGCUAAAUGCUGCUUUUUACCGCUUUGAUAUUGCUUGAAUUGUAUAUAAAACUGUUACGGAAACCUCUUCUCUCUGAGUUUUAUAAAUCAUAUGGGAACGUGUGCACUUCAUGUGACUUCUUUUCUGUUAGAGUCAUAUCCCGAUUUUAGAAUGAGGUUCGGACAAGUUGCAAAGCCGAUGAAGCUUCUGUAUUCCCGGUAUGCNNNNNNNNNNNNNNNNNNNNNNNNNNNNNNNNNNNNNNNNNNNNNNNNNNNNNNNNNNNNNNNNNNNNNNNNNNNNNNNNNNNNNNNNNNNNNNNNNNNNNNNNNNNNNNNNNNNNNNNNNNNNNNNNNNNNNNNNNNNNNNNNNNNNNNNNNNNNNNNNNNNNNNNNNNNNNNNNNNNNNNNNNNNNNNNNNNNNNNNNNNNNNNNNNNNNNNNUAUAACAUAACCUCAUGCCGGAUCCCUAGUAGGAACGUUUGUUUGCAUCACGUGCAUCUGACUUUGGGGACUCAACAUAGGGGUUGGGUCCGUCUAGGACAGGUGUAACCAAAUUAAAAAGACCAUCAUGAUGCAUCUUUUGUGCUACUUGCGCAUCUGUUUGUUUCGACUUUCAAUAGAGAAAAAAAAUCUAAAAAGAAAAAAAUAAAUAGAAAAAAAAUCAAAAAAGUGAGAGGUAGUUAUUUAGAAAAUUCUGAAACGCUGCCGAAAUUCUGAAAAAAGAAAGGUCAUUUAAAAUGAUCCAAAAUUUUCAAGUGCCAUGUUUUCCUUGUUCCGUCAAAAUUGGCUGAACUACGCAAGUUUGAUUCUCACUGGAUAUGGGAUACGUAGGCUACCCUCAUCGGGUCCAAUUCCUUCUGCAAAAAUAACCCAAAAAUAUGAAGUGUCAGUGUUCUGUCAUAAGUAAAUUAGGUGGAGCCAUUCUUGUCCAAAAUAGCCAAAAAUGCCCAAAAGGCGACGGAAGGCUGUUUUUGCAAUAAUAGCCACCUAGGGUCCUUUUUCAAAAAUAUUGGUUGAUUAACAAAAACAACCCAAAUAUUUUUUUUCUCUUGAGGUGCUGAAGGGUUGUAUUCGCAAGAAUGUUUUGUUCUAAAUUUUGUGAAAAUGGGUAAUUUCUCUUGAGUCAAAGUAAACCACAGUCUUUUAAUCAAUCACCUUAAAUAAAUGUGCAGGAUGAGCAUAAUUGAAAAUGAACCUUUCACAGUCCACGAGGAAAUCCCGUUAGAACUACAUAUGUGGUGCAAUGAUUUGGGAGAAGUCAGCAGAAAAAUUGUGAUAAGCUUUGGGUGGUCUUGUUGGGCUUUUGAAGAUUAAGCCGAGAAAGGAUAUAAUUGAGGCUUUGAUACCCUUGAGGGACCCAGCACAUAAUGUGUUCCAUUUCGCUGAUUUUGAGCUAACUCCUACACUGGAGGAAAUAGCGGGCUACGCUGGUUUUAGUGGGAGUCUCAGAAAUCAAUACCCGGUGGAACCUAGAACAGUGACUCCUCAUAAGUUUCUGGAUCUUCUAAGCAUCAGUCGGGAAGUGCAAGACGAAAACUUGGCUAAGGGAUUUUGCACAUUCUAUUUAUUGUACCGACGUUACGGGAAUCCCCACGGUUUUGAGAUGCUAGAUACCGGUCUUAUUCACUCGGGAAAUAAAGAUAAGUGGGAAACUCGGCGGGGACUGGCUUUUAUAGUGGCAUUCCUGGGUGUUUUGAUUUGUCUAAGAAAAGAUGGAAACAUAGAAUUGGGGCUCGUGGGGAUAGCCGACUUCAUGACUAAAAAGGCAAAUGGCACCAUUAUACCGAUGAUCUUGGCGGAGAUCUAUUGAGCUAUGACUAUUUGCCAGGAAGGAGGAAAGUUUUUUGAAGGAUGCAAUAUGUUUCUACAACUCUGGAUGGUGGAGCACCUUUGCCACCGUCCGGGGUACAUAAACUGCGUUAUGACCGGUCUUCAAUGCAUUGAAAAACAUGAACGACGAGGUGGAGGGCUAUGAAUUUUCGGACGGUACAGAAGCAUGGUUUGGACACUUGAGCUCCCUGACUACACACAAGAUUGAAUGGACAUUCGGGUGGCUCUCGGUUAGUGAAGUCAUUUAUAUGUCGGCUGAGGUGUGUUUUAUUCUAUUGAUGGGUCUCCGGAGCAUUCAGCCUUAUGCCCCGCACAAAGUUCUACGCUAGUUAGGCAGGUACCAGACCAUACCACAUGAUGAGGAUUUGAGUCCGCAGGUCAUCGAAUUGGAACCAAAACCUGCCUUCCCAGAAGAAAGGGUGCAUCAAAUUUGGCAUCAAUGUAGGUUAUUAGAGUCAAAGACUCAGGUACGAGAUCUAUCCAAAGGCGAGUUGGAGCCUAGUUACACAACUUGGUACGGUAAAAGGUCCCAAGUCCAUCAAAAGACCGAACAACCCGCAAAUAGGCUCCAUGUCCAACAAUUCACUAAUGGAGCGUAGGAGCAAUGGGAUUGGUUGGCAAAAGAGGCAAGCUACAAAGCCACCAUAAUAAAAUUGGAGGGACAGAUCCAGGAUCUUAAAUUUGACAAAAGUGUAUAGGCCGCUGCCGAUGAAGGGGGAAAUAAGAAAUUGGCUCAACAAAACAAGGUCCUUAGAGCACAGAUCCAAAAAAUGAAAAUAGCUGCUGAGAAUCAGGAAAGUAGCUGAAAGUAUGAAAGACUCAUAAGUGGUCUCAAGAGGAAAAUAGCUGAGUGUGAGGAUGAUCUGGAAAAAUCCGAGGGUAAUCUGGCAAGAGCCCGGGCACAGUUAGCAAAGAAUGCAGAGCGGCAAGCAGUGUUUGUCUGGCAGCUGAAAAGGAAAUACGAGGGAACAAUAGCCAAUUUGAAGAAAAGGCUAACUACCCUCGAAAAUGAGAUGGCCAAUCAAGCUAAGAACAUUAAAGCAGAAAGGGAACAUUGUUAUCUAUUAUUGUCCUAGUUGGAGGAUGAUCUACAACAGUUACAAGGUCAAAACCAUCGUGAUGCCCACGUGCUAGAAGCUAGUACUCAACAAAUACGGCGUUUGCUCCAAGAAAAGGGUAUCAUCAGGGAGAGGGUUAGAGCCAUUGCUGACUACAUCGUCAUAAAGUGCCAUGAAUGUGAAGACAUGACUAGAACCACCUUCUUUGCUGCGGUAAUGACCUUUGUUUGCCAAAUAAUGAAUGAACUGGAGCGCCUUCAAGGGGAUCUUGCACAUAGGCCCGUGGCGUGACCGACUGAUGUCCCACAGGCCCACGGGGCAAUUGAGGCAUUGAUGUAUUCAUGAUUUUCAUUCAAGUCUGUAUUUUCAAUUUUCUUUGUUGGAGUUUGUUAGUCUGUUUUUGAAUCAGUAUUUUCAUCUUUCUGUUGGAGUCUGUUAGUCCCCCUUUUUCGAAUCUGUUAGCUUUAAUGAUUAAAUGUUGUAGUAUGAGUCAUUGUAAUCAAUAUGUUUAAUGAAAAUUAGAAAACCCCAAAAUAUUUGUUUCAUUUAUUUUUAUUUUACACUUAUUCCCAGGACUAUGCUUGGUCUGAUUCAUGCGGCGUUAUGAUACGUAGGCAAUCCCCAUAGGAUUCGAUCAUAACCGUGAAAUGAAAGAAAAAAAAGAGAGAAACAAAAGAAAGGAGAGAAAAACAAGAAAAAUCGGGAAAGAAAUAAUGGCAAAACAAGAGAGGAAGAUGAGAGAAUAAAGAAAAGCAAGAAUCAAGCAAAGAAAAGAAGGAAUAAAAAAAGAGAGAAAGAAGUUGCAAAAUGAAGAUUAGGGAAAGCCGAGAUGACGCAAGCAACCGAUCAAAUGCAUAAUAGAAAUGGUUAACUGCUUAGGUGCAUUGCAUCACCAACGUGCGGUUGCCUAUCUGUUUAGCCGUAAUCGCUAACGAGUUUGUUGUUGUCAUCCAGUUCAGGCAGGUGGUUAGUUUGUUUGGCAUUCUGACAACUCAUCCGUACAACACCAGGUUCAAAGACAGGUUGAUCAUGGCUAACCAAGAACUGGAUGCAAGUGUUAUUGAUCCAUCAAGAGAGAGGGAGGAGUCUGAUGUUAGCAUGAAAGAGUAGUUGUAUAAGUUAAAAUACCAGAUGGCAGAGAUGUACCAGGAAUGGGUAAAAGGGCAUCCACCACCAUCCUACCCCGCCAACCCUACUUUCGUCUUGCCCCUGGCUCAAUCCCAUGAACCUCCCACUAUUGAUUCAUCUCCGGGCUUUCUCAUUUACCACCACUAUCAAGGCACCACUUCCCAAACCCCACAAUCACCACUACCCAAACCAGUCCCAUACCCUUCUCCACCAGCCACCCCUAUUUUCGUGGCACCCCCACCUGCUGCACUCUAUCGAUCCUCCAGUGAGCCCUUAUUCUCGACCCAAGAUAACCAAUACUACCCCCCUGAGCCUACUUUCAAGGCCCCAGAGCCUUGCUCUUAUACUCCUCGUUUCGACCUCCCUGUCGAGAUUGAGAAACCACCAAAGAACCCAGAGCAUGAGGAGAUGUUCAGGAAGGUUAGAAGUCUAGAGUAGUCAUUCAGAAACAUGCAAGGAUUGGGAGGCCAGGUGACCGUAGCCUACAAGGAUUUGUGUUUAUUUGUCGAUGUUUAGUUGCCUGUGGGAUUUAAGAUGCCGAAGUUUGAUUUGUAUGAUGGGCAUGGAGACCCGGUGGCCCACUUGAGGCGAUUCUGCAAUAAAAUGAGCGGAUCUAGUAGGAAAGAUGAGUUAUUGAUGGCAUACUAUAGCCAGAGUCUGAGUGGUUCGGCAUUGGAGUGGUACACUCGUCAGGAUCACAACAGAUGGUAUACAUAGGAUGAUUUGGACCAAGCAUUCGCAUGUCAUUACCAAUACAACCUCGAGAUUGUUCUAGAUCGUUUGUCUCUGACUAAGAUUGAGAAAAAGCCUAGUGAAAGUUUCAGGGAAUACGACUUUUGUUGGAGAGAACAAGCGACAAGAGUUGACCCUCCGAUGAAGGAGAGCGAAAUGGUGGAUUAUUUUCUACAGGCUCUAGAGCCUACUUACUUUGGCCAUCUGGUAUCGGCCAUAGGCAAGUCCUUCAACGAGGUAGUGAAGAUGGGUGGCACGGUGGAAGAAAAGCUUAAAUAAAAAAAAUCAUGAGUUACUCGGCUAUUAAGGUAACUACCCAAGCCAUUCAGAACGGUUCUGGGGGAGUGAUCGGAAAGAAGAAGAAAGAUGAUGUGGCAACAAUUGAUUCAGGAUCAUGGUUUGGACCUAGGGGCCCGUCAUACCAUUACACUCAGCCUCGACCCCACCACCAAACCUACACCCAAACCCCAUAUAAUUCACUCCAACACUACUUCCCAUCACCAGACCCUCAUAUUUCUGUCCGCCACACCCAAACAUAUACUCAACCUCCUGCUUACGCAAAAUGGCGUGCCCCAGCCCCACAAAACACCUACCCAACUCCACCCCCACGAGCCUACCGAAACCCUGCUGUCCCUAGUUUCCGACCCAAUCCAGCAUUCAAAAAUGAGAGGUUGCAGCGAAAAAAAACCUUCACCCGAUUGGGAGAAUCUUAUACCAAUUUAUUCCAUAGAUUGAGGCAGUUGGAUACAGAGAAGUGGUGGCACCUAAAAAAUGCCAUCUAGGAGCUCAUUAACACAAACCGGAUUGAAGUCCAGACUCUAGAGGAACCCAACAUCAACCAGAACCCAUUGCCAACACAUUAGGAAACAAAUAUGAUCGAGAUAGUACAUAAGGGAGGGGAGCCCAAGAAGCCUUCAUAGACCGUCAUGAUGAUUCAGUCCAGUGAGGUCAAGCCAGUUAAAAAAUCAAUAGUUGAAGGAUCAGUGAACAAGUUGAGUAGGGUAAACUUUGAAUCAUCUGUGUAAGUCAAGGAAGGAUCCCCUAGUGAUGUUACGGUGAAGCAAGUAAAGUCAAAAGUGGUUGUGCCAGGAGUGGCAAACAAGCCUAUCAUAAUUGUAGACGGUGUAUGUACGAUCCCUGUCAUCAUCAAGCUUGUAACCCAGUUGCCGGUAAUUAGCACCAAGGCCAUCCCAUGGAACUAUGAACAGGUGAUAAUGACCUAUAAGGGAAAGGAAGUGAAAGAAGAAGUCAAUGAGGCCCAGGGAUUAACUCGUUCGGGGAGAUGCUUUACCCCAGAAGAGUUAAGGAAAGCUAAAACAUGCAGGGAUAACCUAGUUCUAGUGAAGAAAGCAAUGACUGAAGAAGAGGCGCAAGAGUUUCUAAGAAAAAUGAAAGUACAAGAUUAUUCCAUUGUGGAGCAGUUGAGAAAGACGCCUGCUCAGAUUUCAUUGUUGUCAUUGUUAAUCCACUCAGACGAGCAUCAUCGGGCCUUGAUAAAAAAUCUGAAUGAGGCUCAUGUUCCCGACAAAAUUUCAGUAAACCAUCUGGAAAAGAUUGCCAACAAAAUAUUUGAGCUGAACAGGGUCACCUUCUCUGAUGAUGAGUUGCCUGUGGAAGGUACUGAACACAAAAAAGCUCUAUAUCUUAUGGUAAAAUGUGAAGAUUCUAUGGUUACCAGGGUAUUAGUUGACAAUGGUUCCAGUGUAAACAUCUGCCCUCUCUCUACUUUGAACAAGUUGAAAGUGGAUGAUGAGAGGAUUCACAAGAACAACAUCUGCGUUCAGUGAUAUAGUGCUUGAAUUAACAAUAGGGCCAGUGGAAUUCACCAUGGAGUUCCAGGUGUUGGACGUAGCCGUCUCUUACAAUUUGCUGUUGGGUCGACCUUGGAUUCAUUCCACCAAAGUAGUCCCGUCCACUCUGCACCAUAUGGUCAAGUUCGAAUGGCAUAGACAGGAGAUCUCCGUGCAUGACGAGGAUAAUUUGUGUGCCCACAAUGAUGCCUCCGUCCCGUUUAUUGAGGCUGAAGAUGACAACGGGCCUUGGGUCUAUCAAGUUUUUGAAACAAUAUCGGUCGAGAAGGUUCCAGAAGGGGAAUGUGUUCCAACUCCAAAAAUAACCUCCGCAUCAGUCAUGGUGGCCUCUAAAAUGCUAAAAAAUGGCUUUGUGCCCGGUAAAGGUCUGGGUGCAUCUCUACAGGGUAUCAUACAACCAUUGUCCCUCGCUGAAAAUUUGGGUAUAUUCGGUCUUGGAUUCAAACCUACAGCGGCAGAUGUGAAAAGGGCUAAAAGGUUGAAACAGAAGGCGUGGGCAUUUCCAAAGCCUAUUACACGUUUCUCCAGGUCUUUUGUCAAGCCCAGUGCCAAGAAACGCCCAGUGACGACAGUUCCAAGUUCUGUGGUUGAUAUUGAUGAGGAGUUAAUUGAAAGGUUCCAGAGGUUGUUUGAUGAUAUGAACAUGGUAGAGGUUGGAGAAGGUUCUAGCAACGCGGACGUGCAGUUUGUUGGGCCGAAUACAAAGCUUAACAAUUGAAGGCUACUCCUCUCCCUACCUGGAAGGAGUCUUGGUAGUUUCUUUUGUUUUCCUUUCUAGCUGGGUCAUUCCAGGGUUGUGACCCAGACCUUUAUUUUUCGCUUGUUGAUUUACAAACCCUGUUAUCCUUUAUUUUCAAUGAAAUGCAAUUUCCCUUUUCCAUCAUUUCUGAUAGUUUUAUUUUGUUUUUAUUUUCUUCUCUGUAUAGUUCUUUUUAUGCUGGUUUCAGUAACAUGACAUGUAUGAGGAAACUUCGGCCCAGUUGUACAAGUCAAUCUAAUUCUGAAAUAAUAAUCCAAGAAAUAGAAUGUUAUGAUGAAUCUGAAUAUAAUGAGGAUGGGGCCUUUGAAGAGAUUAGUAAAGAACUAAGUUAUUUUGAAGAAAAACCCAAGCCUAAUCUGAACGAAACAGAAGCAAUCAAUAUAGGGGAUCCAGAUAAUGUCAGAGAAACUAAGAUAAGUAUCCAUCUUGAGUCGCAAAUCAAGGAAGAAAUAAUUAAAGCAUUGUUUUAUUAUAAGGAUAUUUUUGCGUGGUCGUAUGAUGACAUGCCAGGCUUGAGUACCGAUUUGGUGGUCCACAAAUUACCAAUUGAUCCAGCAUUUCCUCCCAUUAAGAAGAAGUUGAGAAAGUUCAAAACUGACAUGAGUGUGAAGAUUAAAUAAGAGGUCACAAAGCAGCUUGAUGCAAAGGUCAUUCGGGUCAUGCGGUAUCCCACGUGGCUAGCCAAUGUUGUGCCCAUGCCAAAGAAGGAUUGUAAGACCAGAGUGUGUGUUGAUUACCAUGAUCUCAACAAGGCAAGUCCAAAGGACAACUUCCCAUUGCCGAAUAUCCACAUUUUGAUCGAUAAUAGUGCCAAGCAUGAGAUUGGGUCUUUUGUAGAUUGCUAUGCGGGCUAUCAUUAGAUUCUAAUGGAUGAGAAAGAUGCGGAAAAGACGACAUUCAUCACGCCAUGGAUAACAUACUAAUACCGGGUCAUGCCUUUUGGUUUGAAAAACGCCGGGACAACUUAUAAGUCCAGGAAGCAGUCUGACAACGUCAGAGAUUUGAGUGAUUUCUUCCAAAGGCUCCGCGGGUACAUUCUCAAACUCAACACUGCAAAGUGUGCAUUUGGUGUCCCAUCCGGAAAACUGUUGUGAUUCAUAGUCUGCCGGCGGGGCAUUGAAUUGGAUCCGUCAAAGAUUAAAGCUAUUCAGGAAUUGCCCCCCCAAGGAGAAAGACCGAAGUGAUGAGUCUGUUAGGGAGGCUGAAAUACAUAAGCAGGUUUAUUGCUCAGCUCACGACAGCUUGUGAGCCUAUCUUUAAGCUGCUGAAGAAGGAUGCUGCGGUCAAGUGGACUGAUGAGUGUCAGGAAGCAUUUGAUAAGAUAAAGGGGUACUUGUCAAACCUACCUGUGUUGGUCCCAUCAGAACCAUGAAGACCUUUGAUUCUUUAUUUGACAGUCUUGGAUAAUUCAUUUGGAUGUGUAUUAGAUCAACAUGACAUCACUGGCAGGAUAGAGCAGGCCAUUUAUUAUCUCAGCAAGAAGUUCACAUCUUAUGAGGUUAAGUACACUCCCCUUGAGUGGACGUGUUGUGCCCUGACUUGGGUGGCACAGAAGUUGAAGCAUUACCUGUCGUCCUACACUACUUACCUCAUCUCUCGUCUUGAUCCUUUGAAGUAUAUUUUUCAGAAGCCCAUACCCACAUGAAGGCUCACAAAGUGGCAGAUCUUACUCACAAAGUUUGACAUCGUAUAUGUUACUUGGACAGCGAUGAAAGCCCAAGCUUUGACUGAUCAAUUGGCCGAAAACCUAGUAGAUGAAGAAUAUGAACCUUUGAGGACUUACUUCCCUGAUGAAGAGGUAAUGCAUAUCGACGAGGUCAAAAAGGAGGAAAAGCCUGGUUGUAAACUCUUCUUUGAUGGGGCUGCUAACAUGAAAGGUGUCGGGAUAGGGGUAAUGUUUAUUUCUGAAACAGGGCAUCACUACCCUGUCACAGCUCAUCUUCAUUUCUAUUGUAGCAACAACAUGGCUGAAUACAAAGCAUGCAUUCUGGGUUUGAGUCUAGCUGUAGAAAUGGGAAUCCAAGAAGUCUUGGUCUUGGGAGACUCUGACCUUCUGGUGCAUCAGAUUCAAGGAGAAUAGGAGACGCGGGAUUUAAAGCUUACAACGUAUCGACAAUGUCUGCAUGAUCUUUAUCUACGAUUUUGAUCAAUAGAAUUCAGGCACAUUCUAAGGAUCCAUAAUGAGGUUGUCGAUGCUUUGGCUACCUUGGCGUCGAUGUUACAUCACCCAGAUAAGGCUUAUGUUGACCCUUCGCAUAUUCAGGUCCGCGAUCAGCAUGCUUACUAUAACAUGGUGGAAGAAGAACUUGAAGGUGAACCUUGGUUCCAUGAUAUCAGGAAGUACAUCAGAAUGGGGGUAUAUCCGGUACAGGUCACAGGGGAUCAAAAGAGAAUAAUUCGUUGAUUGGCAAGUGGAUUUUUCUUCAGUGGGGGAGUUUUUUACAAAAGAACUCAAGAGUUUGGAUUGUUAAGAUGCAUAGAUGCUAGACAAGCCACGACAAUCAUGACCGAAGUACACUCUGGGAUUUGCGGGCCGCAUAUGAGUGGGUAUGUUCUGACAAAGAAGAUUCUUCGAGCGGGUUAUUACUGGCUUACCAUGGAGCGAGAUUGUAUCUGUUUUGUGCGCAAAUGCCAGGUACACGGAGAUUUGAUUCAUUCUCCACCAUCUGAAUUGCACACGAUGUCCGCACUGUGGCCCUUUGUUGCUUGGGGUAUGGAUGUCAUCGAACCAAUCGAUCCAGCAAUAUCCAAUGGACACAGGUUCAUUCUGGUGGCCAUUGAAUAUUUCACUAAGUGGGUUGAAGCUAAAACUUUCAAAUCUGUGACCAAGAAGGAAGUCGUCGAUUUUGUUCAUUCAAAUAUCAUUUGUCGGUUCGAAAUCCCAAAGGUGAUCAUCAUAGAUAAUGAUGCCAUAAUCUAAUGAAGGAUGUGUGUCAACAGUUUAAGAUUACACAUCACAAUUCCACCCCAUACCGCCCUAAGGCGAAUGGAGCAGUCGAGACAGCCAACAAGAACAUAAAGAAGAUACUUCGGAAAAUGGUGCAAGGUUCCAUGCAAUGGCAUGAGAAGUUGCCCUUUGCGUUGUUGGGUUAUCACACUAAUGUUCUGACUUCAGUAGGUGAAACUCCUUAUUUAUUGGUAUAUGGCACCAAAGCAGUGAUACCCACAGAAGUUGAAAUUUCAUCCCUUUGUAUUGUUGCUGAAGCCGAAAUUGAUGAUGAUGAGUGGGUCAAAACCCGUCUGGAGCAAUUAAGUUUGAUUGAUGAGAAAAGAUUGACAACAGUGUAUCAUGGCCAGUUGUAUCAAAAGAGAAUGGCGAGAGCAUACAACAAGAAGGUGCGUCUCCGGAAAUUUGAAGUGGGCCAGAAAGUAUUGAAAAACAUCCUUCCACAUCAGGUUGAAGCAAAAGGCAAGUUCGCCCCAAAUUGGCAAGGGACAGUAGUCGUAACGAGAGUGUUGUCCAAUGGUGCUUUGUAUUUAACAGACAUAGAAGGCAAAUGUGUAGACAUGGCUAUCAAUUUUGAUGCAGUCAAAAGAUAUUAUGUAUGAUUUCUUUGGAUUAAAUUGUGUUUGUUUGUACUUGGGAUGUUUUGAAGAUUGGAAUGACGAAGGCAUUUUGUUCUGAUAUCUAAACACUUUAUCCUUUGUUACCCCUUUGAGCUUUAUUUAUUUCCUCCAUACCCCUCUUUUGGAAUCAGUAGCAAAGUUCAGAAACACGAGCGCAAAAGGUGAGUAAAGAAGAAAAAGAGAAAAGAAAAGAGCAAAGAGAAACAGAAGAAUGGAAAAGAGUGAAAAAGAGAAGAAAAAAAAUAAAUAAAAGGGAAAAAAGAAGAAGAAGAAAAGAAAAGAAAAGAAAAGGAAAAAGAGAAAAAGAAAAGAAAAGAGAAAAAUCACAACAACAAAGUAAUUCUUAUGUCAUAAACUACGUUUGACCUGAUUCCUUUAAAGGAUACGUAGGCAGCCUCACGGUUUGGUCCCAUUAAAUAAAAAUUCAAAGUCCCCAAGCAAAGAAACUGGGGCAGAAAGUUGUGGUUAUUGUAUGAAAUCUGAUUCCAAGAGUUGUAAUUUUAAACCCAUUCAAGUUAAUUGAGCCUCUUGAUAUCCUUUCUAUCUAACCUUAUCCAAAAUCCCACAUUACGGUGCAAUGAAAAACCUUCUGACCAGUCUUCGAGAGAUAAAACCAAGUCGAACAAAUAGAAGUGAUUCAUAUCAGGGGCAACACUCCGUCCGGAGCAAGAAAAUGAAAAAUGAGAGAGUCUUAUUGGCGAAAACCAUCAUGGGCACCGUAAGGUGAUGGAAAGCUGAGAGAAAUUUAAAAAAUGAGAGAGUCUUAUUGGUGAAAACCUUGACAGGCACUGUAAAGCGACGGUGAGUUGAGAGAUGAACAAAUGAGAGAGGUUUGUUGGUGAAAACCCUUCAGGGCACCGCAAGCCGAACAAGGUCAGUGAUUUGGGAAAAAAGUUGGGUUAUGGAGAUCUCGCGGCAUAAAGUAUGACAACUGAAAGGUGAUUUGUUGAAUAGGCUGGGCUGAUUAAUUCAAAAUGCAUGUCAUGAUCAUUGGUGCCAUCUGUUCCGCUCAGACAAGUCUAUUUUCUUUUCCCCCUUCAAACAGUCAUCCAGUUUUGAAUUUUCUUCUUUAUUCCUAACUGUCGAAGUCAUUGCAUUUCAUUUCUUUUCUGUUUAUUUCUCUAAGAUUUUUCCAAUUUCAGUUUUGUUUGAGCAAGUGAGAAGGGAUUUCAAAGCUUACUACCAACUUCCAAAAUUGCACAAAGCAAAGUGCGGCCAAAGCAUACCGAAGAUAGCAUGAUGUAAAGUGGGAAAUAAGGUGUAAGUGAAAAGUUCCCUUGGGCGAAUGGUUUAGAAAUCUUGUGGAAAAUAUAGAGGUUCAAGUAAAAAGGUCAUAAAUGUAAAACAAUGGUUUGGGUGUAGAAAACUCUGGUUAUCCAAGGUCGUGCAGGUGAGAGUCAGUCAGAAAGUCAAACAGUUCUUGGCUAGUUCAAGGUGACCAUUCAAAGCAAAGCAUGAUAGUAGAGAGGCCACCUUCAUCAAGAAUUCCACAAACUAACCACCAUAUUUUAAAUUGACAAGAUUUUUCUUUGAUUUGAAACAGGGGCAGAAAAUUCCGUUUGUUUCGGAGAAACCUUCUGUAAAGAAAGCAAGCACCAGACAGGCUCGACCGUAAAUCCUCAGGACCAUCCUGGACAAUGGGACCUAGUUAAAAUGCAAAACAUUCAUGCGUAACAAGAUCUAGAAUAAGUUUUACCUUGAGGAAAUAUAAGUUGGCUUCGAUGUUUCAUUCUUAGGAUAGGAUUCAAUUCGAAAUUUUUAAGACCCUCAUGAAUAAUGGGACUUAGAUUUAAGUCAUACCUUUAGGAAAUAUCAUUUAGCUUAAAAAAACUGUCAGUUAACUAGGAAUUUUUAGGACCUUUCUGGAUAAUGUGAUCUAGCUUUCAAAUUCUUAGAGAUAUUUGGUAACAUGUCUCAAUUAACACUCACAGACGUGCCCAGCUGCCAAACUGGAGCAGAAAAUAUUCUUUGUUUUGUCUAUUCUAAUUGUAAUCAGGCUCCCACCCAGAGAGCAAGGGAGAACAACACAAGUUUCAAGAAUGAAAAACAGUUCAGGACCAAGGAAUCAGGCACCCACCUAGAAAUACAAAGGAAGACAAUUCAAGUGUUGGUAAUCAGGAGCCCACCUGGAGAACAAAGGGGAAGACAAUUCAAGUGUUGGAAAUCAGGAGCCCACCUGGAGAACAAAGGGAAAGCAGUUCAAGUGUUGGAAAUCAGGAGCCCACCUGGAGAACUAAGGGAGAGGAAUUCAAGUAUUGGUAAUCAGGAGCCCACAUGGAGAACAAAGGGAGAAGCAAUUCAAGUGUCAGUAAUCAGGAGCCCACCUGGGGAACAAAGGGAAGCAGCAAUUCAAGUGUCGGUAAUUAGGAACCCACUUGGAGAACAAAGGGAAGAAGUUCAUGUUUCGAGGAAAAACAUUGCAAAUGUUGGUAAUCAGGCACCCUCCUAGAGAACAAAGGGAGAGCGAUUCAAGUGUUAUUAAUCAGGAGCCCACCCGAAAACAAAGGGAAAACAAUUCAAGUUUCAGAAGGAAAGGAAUACUAUUCAAAUAUUGGUAAUCAGGCACCCACCUAGAGAACAACGGGAAAUCAACAAUGUUCAAAGGAAGACACAUCAAGUUCAGUAAUCAGGCGCCCACCUGGAGAACAAAGGAAAAGCACUUCAGAACGCAAUUUAAGUUAGCAACAAAGAAAUUUCACCUGCAGAGUACGAAUCAACAGAUCAACAGAAAUUGCAAGAUAAAGUUUGAAGAUGUAGAUAGGAUAUUUGUAAUUAAUAGAUCAUAGUUUAGUCUAGCUUCUUUUAUAUUGGCUUGGUGUAAUAAGGGGUUCAACAAGUAGUAGCAGAAGCAGCAACAGUGAAAUCACAACUUCCUGGUAGUCCCAACUACAAAAACAUCCCGAACUACACUAACAUGAUUCCUUUAUGGCCAAGGAUAUGUAGGCAACUGAUAACUAGGGAUUUUGAUACAUUUUAUACCCCUUCUUGCUUAUGUUUUGAUUACGAAUUUCUACGAAAUAGUCCCAAAAAGGCUCACAAGUUGUGCUUGAUUGCAGGUUUUAUCAACAAAGUGACAAGAUGUCAAAGAUCGUCUCAAUAAGGAGUGAAACUUCACCAAGUACCAAGACAAGACAAGCUUAGGAAAAACAGGCUCAAUGCGGCCGCACAAGUGAGGUUCAGAGAAGGUGAUUUCCAGGCCAACAUGCAAUGUGGCUGCAUGAGAUUUAAUGUGGUCCGCACUGAAGUCACUGCGUCUGCACUUGAUUUAGUGCGGUCCGCAGAACCAAAGAUCAGAGAGUGCCAGUUUUGGAGAUUGAAGUCAAUGCGGUCCGCGCUCCAUUUCACGCGGACCGCACUAGAAGCCAUUACGACCGCAGUCCAUUCUGUGCGGUCAACAUUGCCCGAGUUUAGAGAGCUGGAUUCUCAGGCUUAGAGCCUUAGUGCGGCCGCACGUGAUUUUGUAUGGUCCGUACUAGCCCCGCAUGGGUAUUUUUGUCCAUAUUUUUCAGCUUAAUAUAAAUAGUUUCUUUUCCCAUUUUUAGGUCAUCAGAUAGUUUUCUCUUCAGAGCUGCACUCGUGACUUCAUAGUUUUAGCUGUUUUGAGUAAUUUUAGCUACAUUUCAACAUUGAAUCUUCUUGUUUCAUUUAGUAAUUAAUUAAUAUGAGUUUUUCUUCAUCUAAUUCUUUGUUUUCUUCUCUAAUUAUGAGUAGCUAGAUCCAUAAGCUAGGGUUGUGGCUCAACUCUAGUGUGGGUAAUUGAUGGGUCUUGUGUUUUCAGGUUAGAUUGACUAUGAGUGUUUGCUAUUUGGACUAAUUUCAUGUUUAAUUGCUGAAUUGGUGGUUGCAAACAGUAGUUUGUGUUUAGUUGGCUUUGGCUCUUCUUGAGAAAGAGAGCCUAAGUCUCUGAAAUUGGUCCAACAAGGAAUUGGGACGUACUCAAGAAAUUGAUAGCCCAAUUAUAGGGUUAAACCUAGAGAUAGUAAUACCUGACUUGAAACUUGAUUGCUUGUGCAAAUAUGCAUACCCAAUUGGUCUUGAGAAAGUCAAUUCGGGCAAAAUCACUCGAACCACUGAGAGGUNNNNNNNNNNNNNNNNNNCGGUUAUAUCAUAUUCCCCAAAUAUGUCAAUAUGUCUUAGAUUCAAGUACCGGUCAAUUGACUACCUAGGUGAAAGUCACUACCCUAGUGCCUUUUUAACUAUUUGAACAACCCACAAUAUUUUAAUCUUAGCUUAUUCUAACUUCUAGCUAGACACCCGACUCCACUUUAGAUAGACACCCGACUCCAACUUCUAGCUUCUUGUGGAAAUCGAUCCCGACCUUAAUAGGGUAAAAGCUGCUUCGACCCUCUCUUGAUACUCAAUAGUAGUGCAGGGUUGGCCUUUAUCACUUUUUGGCACCGUUGCCGGGGAGCUAACGUUUUUGGCUAUCUAUCUAAAUAGUUUUGUGUAUUGUUCUUCUUUCUUUCUUUAUUACUAAUUUUGUUUGUGUCACAACUCAGGUACCAAAUGACAGCGAACAACGCCAAUGGCCCUCUUGGAAAUGUGAUUGCAGGGGAGGAGGUAGAUGAUUUCAGAGAUGAUGAGGUGCCUCUUGUACCUCAAGGACAACGUAGAGGCCGCCCGGCUAAUGCUAAUGUUGAUGACAAUAUCCCAGACCCUCCUCCGCCACCUCCAAGAGUGGCUCCUAGAGUACUUCCGAACCAAGGCUAUGCAAGUGCUAUUGUCCCACCCCGAAUUCGGGCGGGAAAUUUUCAAAUAACCAAUGUGAUGUUGACCUUACUAGAGCAACGUGUGUAUUUUACGGCCGCUGCAAAUCAAAAUGCUUACAAACAUNNNNNNNNNNNNNNNNNNNNNNNNNNNNNNNNNNNNNNNNNNNNNNNNNNNNNNNNNNNNNNNNNNNNNNNNNNNNNNNNNNNNNNNNNNNNNNNNNNNNNNNNNNNNNNNNNNNNNNNNNNNNNNNNNNNNNNNNNNNNNNNNNNNNNNNNNNNNNNNNNNNNNNNNNNNNNNNNNNNNNNNNNNNNNNNNNNNNNNNNNNNNNNNNNNNNNNNNNNNNNNNNNNNNNNNNNNNNNNNNNNNNNNNNNNNNNNNNNNNNNNNNNNNNNNNNNNNNNNNNNNNNNNNNNNNNNNNNNNNNNNNNNNNNNNNNNNUAUGUGAUUUGGGGGCUAUUAUCAAUUUGAUGCCCUAUUCGGUUUUCAAGACUUUGGGUAUUGGGCAGCCAAGGCCGACUUCCAUGAGAUUACAAAUAGUAGAUAGAACGAUGAAUAGACCAUUGGGUAUUAUUGAUGAUGUACUUGUCCGGGUGGACAAAUUUAUCUUGCCAGCUGACUUUGUGAUCUUGGAUUGUGAGGUAGAUUAUGAAGUUCCUAUCAUUUUGGGGAGGCCGUUCCUUGCUAACGGGAAGGCCUUAGUUGAUGUGGAAGCAGGGGAACUCACCUUCCGUGUGGGUGACAAAAAAGUGGUCUUUCAUGUUUACAAAUCGAUGAAGCAGCCCAACUGUACCGAGGUGAGCUCUUUUGUGGACCUCAUCAUAGCAGUGAUAAUUGAUGACACCAGUGCAAUGAUCAAUGUAGAGGACCCUUUCAAGGCCAUAUUAUUGAAUCUUAGUGUCAAUGAUGAUGAGGGCUGAGAAGAGUGCGUGAAUACUUUACAUGGAAUGGGCUCUUACUCUUAUGAGCAUAGGAAAUUAUCUUUGGACCUUGAGAAUAGAAAGACUCCACCAACAAAACCUUCGAUUGUGGAGCCUCAGGUGUUGGAGUUGAAGCCACUGCCUCCACACCUCAGGUAUGAGUUCUUAGGCUCAAAUUUUACUUUGCCAAUUAUUCUUUCCUCUUGUCUUACUAACAUGUAGGUAGAUGCCAUAUUGGCGGUACUUCAAAAGCGAAAAAGGCAAUUGGAUGGACUUUAGCUGAUAUUCGGGGGAUAAGCCCCACAUUCUGUAUGCACAAGAUUAUUUUGGAAGAUGAUGCAAAGCCCUCCUUGGAGCAUCAAAGGAGUUUGAAUGAGGCAAUGCAAGAAGUUGUGAAAAAAGAGGUGAUCAAGUGGUUGGAUGCCGAGGUUGUGUACCCCAUCUCUGAUAGCUCUUGGACUUCACCGGUGCAAUGUGUACCAAAUAAAGGUAGCAUGAUUGUGGUUGCAAAUUUACAAAAUGAGUUGAUUCCUACUAGAACCGUCUCCGGUUGGAGGGUAUGCAUGGACUACCGCAAGUUGAGUAAAGUGACCCGCAAGGAGCACUUUCCUUUGCCUUUUCUUGAUAAGAUGUUAGAUCGACUUGCUGGGCGUGCCUUCUACUAUUUCUUGGAUGGGUAUUCUGGGUACAACCAAAUCUUGAUAGCUUCGGAAGAUCAGGAGAAGACCACAUUCACUUAUCCAUAUGGCACCUUUGCCUUUUCUAGGAUGCCUUUCGGGUUGUGUAAUGCACUGGCUACAUUUCAUUGAUGUAUGAUGGCCAUUUUCACCGAUAUGGUGGAAGAUAUUUUGGAGGUGUUCAUGGACGACUUUAGUGUUAUGGGGGAUUCCUUUGAUGAGUGCUUGAAAAAUCUUGAUAAGGUCUUGGCCCGUUGUGAAGAAACUAAUCUUGUUAUCAAUUGGGAGAAAUGCCACUUUAUGGUGCAAGAGGGCAUAGUUCUUGGGCAUAAAAUUUCAAAGCAUGGUAUCGAGGUAGACAAAGCAAAAAUUGAUGUGAUUUCAAGGCUACCUCUACCUACAUCUGUCAAGGGAGUCCGAAGUUUUCGUGGGCAUGCGGGUUUCUAUCGGAGAUUUAUCAAAGACUUUUUGAAGGUGGUGAAUCCCUUGAGCAAAUUGUUGGAAAAAGAUGCUAAGUUUGUGUUUGAUGAAAAAUGUAUGCAAGCCUUUCAACUUCUCAAGCAUAAGUUGACCACCACUCCUAUCAUUUCUGCACCUAAUUGGAGCUUGCCCUUUGAGCUCAUGUGCGAUGCGAGCGAUGUUGCGGAUGGGGCGGUUUUGGGUCAAAGAGUGAGCAAAAUAUUUCAUCCGGUGUAUUAUGCGAGCAAGACAAUGAAUGAUGCUCAAGUGAACUACACGGUGACCGAGAAAGAACUUUUAGCUAUUGUGUUCGCAAUGGAAAACUUUCGGCCGUAUCUUAUAGGUGCUAAGGUUAUUAUCCAUAACGACCAUGCCACACCCGGUACUUGAUGACGAAGAAGGAUUCCAAAGGUAGACUGAUGCGAUGGGUCUUGUUACUUCAAGAGUUUGAUUUGGAGAUUGUGGAUCGGAAAGGUAGUGACAACCAAGUGGCGGACCACUUGUCCCGCUUGGAGGAGGAGGGGAGGCCUCUUGAUGGCCUAGAGAUCAAUGAUUCAAAUCCCGAUGGACAACUCCUUUCGGUGUCAAUGAAUUAUAUGCCAUGGUUUGCUGAUAUUGCUAAUUUCCUUGUGACUGGUAUAAUCCCGUGUGAGCUCUCUUCUAACGAAAGGAAGAAGCUUAGGCGAGAUAGUUUGGAUUUCUAUUGGGAUAAGCCAUACUUGUUCAAGAUUUGCACGGAUGGUGUGAUCCGAAGGUAUAUCCCGGAGGAAGAGCAAUUGAGUAUCUUGGAGGCUUGUCAUUCCUCUCCCUAUGGUGGUCAUUAUGGCGGGGCGAGGAUGGCUUCCAAAGUUCUUAGUUGUGGGUUUUACUGGCCAAUUUUGUACAAAGAUGCAAGUGAACUUGUGAAGAGGUAUGAUGAAUGUCAAAGAGCGGGUUGAAUUUCGAAGAAAGAUGAGAUGCCUCUCAAUACCAUUCGUGAGGUUGAUAUUUUUGAUGUGUGGGGCAUUGAUUUUAUGGGCCCGUUUGUUAGCUCGUGUGGGAACAUGUAAAUUCUUCUAGUGGUGGACUAUGUUUUUAAGUGGGUUGAAGCCGUGGCUUUACCCAACAAUGAGGCCCGGAGUGUUGUUGCAUUUCUCAAGAAGAGCAUUUUUACAAGGUUUGGUACUCCUCGUGCAAUCAUAAGUGAUGGGAGGUCUCAUUUUUGUAAUAGAGCUUUUGAUUCCUUACUUGCAAAAUAUGGCGUCAAUCACAAAGUCUCUACCCCCUAUCAUCCUCAAGAAAGUGGUCAAGUGGAAGUCUCCAAUAGGUAAAUCAAGAGCAUAUUGUCAAAGACGGUAAAUGCUAAUAGGACCGAUUGGUCAAAGAAGUUGGAUGACACUUUAUGGGCUUAUAGGACUGCUUUUGAGACUCCAAUUGGUAUGUAUCCGUAUCAGUUGGUGUUUGGGAAUGCUUACCAUCUACCGGUCGAGUUAGAGCACAAGUCCAUGUGGGCUUUGAGGAAGCUAAAUCUUGAAUGGGAUGUUGCAACAAAUCUUUGUGGGGAGCAGCUUAAUGAACUUAAUUAAUUCCGAUUCCAUAACUACUCCAGUUCAUCCUUGUACAAGGACAAGAUGAAGUACCUUCAUAAUAAAUAUACUCGUAGCAAGGAGUUCAAAGUGGGUGAUUUGGUUCUCUUGUUCAACUCUCGGUUACGUCUAUUUCCAGGAAAGCUCAAGUCAAAAUUAAGUGGACCUUUUGAAGUGGUGUGUGUGACCCCGUUUGGUGCUCUUGAUUUAAAGAACAAAAAUGGGGAAGUUUUCAUAGUGAAUGGGCAUAGGGUCAAGCACUACUUGGAAAAAAUUGAUGACAGCCACGUUGUGGCACUUAUUCAUCUCAAAUGAUGUGAUGGUACACUGUGUCGUGCUGCGAUAUUAAAUUAGGCGCUUCUUGGGAGGCAACCCAUGUGUUUUUAUUCUGGUUUUUCUUUGGUUUUCAUUGUAGUAUAGGAUUUAUUUUUGGACUAACUAGUUGUGAGAUGCUACAGGAUUGUGUUGAUGCAGUGCAGGACAUAGUGGGAAAAUGGUUCAAGUCUCUGAACUUUGCAAUGCAGACGCACUACAUUUCGUGCAGACCGCACUGAUGAAGGAUGAAAAGUCCAGUUCUCUAAAUUUUGCCACUGCGGCAACAUUACAUUUUGUGCGGUCCGCGGUGGACCACUACGGCCGCAUGACAUUUUGUGCGGACCGCAAUGGGUUACCAUCUCAAAGUUGAAACAAGCAGUGCAGUACGGACUGCAGUCCAUUUUGUGUGGUCCGCAUUGGGUUGACAAUGGUAAAAAAGGAGGCAAAGGCUCUAAACAACCAAGCAGUGGAGAAUCCUCCCCCAGAGGGAAAGAGAAAAUGGUAAGAUUGACUGCUCAAGCCUGGCAAAACAUUAAAAACAUGAGAAAGAUGAUUAAAGCUGCUGAUAGGGCCAUUGACAUGCCUGGAAGUGAGUACGAGCCCUCCUAGGAGAUAUCUUCAGACUCAAUCCCAGAGUACAUCCCUGAAUGGUCGGAGAGAAACAGACUAAGAGACAUUUCUCCCACUUCCCCCGCUGCCCAAGCGUCAGUAAAUGUAUCUUCUUGGUCGUCCGAGGGCUUAGAUGAAGGCAGUGGGGAUGAAUACUCCACCUCUCUCACAACUUCAUUAUCCAGAGAGGGUGUAGUAGGAGAAGAGGUAGUAGGAGAAAGGGGUGAUCCCCAGGUUGGUGGGGUAGAACGAACUAGAAACCUGGAAGUGUGGCAAGACCAGUUUGUAAGCGAGGUUUCUAAUCAAAAAUUUAGGGAAUGGUGGCCGGUGAGGAAGUUGAUCCCGGAGAGGAGCUUUGUUGAUAGAGACUUAUUACCUCACAAUCCCAAUGUGAGGAGGAAGUUUAGGGAGAGCGUUCGCUGGGAGUAUUUCUUGAACAACUGUGAGGAUGCAAAUGAUCACUUGGUCAAGGAAUUCAAUACCAAUGUUGCCCACAUAAAAAAGGGCACAAAAGUGACCAUAGUGUGAAAUCUGAAGGUGAUUUUUGAGGAGAAAACAAUAAAUGAUUACCUUGGCUUUGAUGAGGAGGACGAGGAAUUGUAUAUGACAAAGAUGGAAUUGGGCAAGGAGGUCCGUUCCUGGUUGGUACAGUAUCUGGCAAUCCCAGGUACCACCCUCGAUUGGCUAAAUGCGGGAGUGAAAAUUUUGAGAAGAAGUCUGAAUUUCGAAGCCAAGGGGUGGGAAAUAUUUGUGUGUAGCAGAUUGGACCCCACUACUCAUGACAACUCCCUCCCUCUUCAUCGGCCAAUUUUGGUGGCAUCGAUCAUGGCGGGGCACCCAAUUAAUGUCGGGAAGGUAAUGUCUCGGGUAAUUACGUAGGUAGUCAGUGAGGGUGACAGAAACUACCCCAUCCCUAGCUUCUUGACCAUGUACUUCAGGGACCUCAAAGUUGAAAGGAGGCCAUUUGAUAUAAAGGUAAAAGCGAAGGCCCCGUCCUUAUGGUACAGUAUGCAGGGUGAUGACAACCCAUAGUGGAAGCUCAGUCGGCACCUCCGCCUUCGCAGGUCUCGCACUCUAUCGAGGAUGCCCUCAAGGAGAUUCUGGCCAACCAGAAGAAAUCCUUAACACCCAGAAAGUGAUCAUGGAUGCUGUUGAUUCACACAGCAAGGCUCUCAAGGAGCUUGCUAAGGAGCACAAGAAGUUGAGGAAGACGCGGGCUUCUAAGGAGUCCAUAAAGGCGCUGAGGGUUGAUGUUGACAAGAUGAAGGCAAAUCAUCUGCCUUUGGACUUAUUGCUAAAGGACCCAGUACCAGCAGCUUAUCCCCAGCCUAAGCAGUCCCAAAGGCCUCCCAAGAGGAAGAGGAUGAUUCCCCAAGCAGACGAUGCAGUCAUCCAGUUGGCAGACCCACCGGAGACCUCCUCCAGUCAGCCAUAGGAUACACCUCAGGAGCCUGUCCAGGUCCAGGCCCAGGUCCCAGCAGCAGAGCAGCAUUCCAUAAGGAACCAGUCUGAGGUUCCCGAGCAUAUUGAGGACCCAGGGACCACUCAGGAGCCUAUGCAGAGAGACGAGCCAUAGGGAGUAUCUAUAUCUUUUUCUCCUUUUUUUCUUUUUGGUGCUUAUUUGGUUUAGUUGGCAUUGGGGACAAUGCCAGAUUUCAUUUGAGGGGGUAGGCCUUACUUUUAUGGAUUUGGAUUAUUGUAUAUAUUUGACAGUUUUUAUGUUUUCUUUAUUUUUCAUCUUUGGUUUGUAUAUAAUUUUAACAUUUCGUUACAUUUCUCGUACUUUUAUUUUACUUUGGGUCUUGAUAUAAAGUUAUGUUACAUUGUACAUAUUCAUCCCAUCUAUUGUAUAUUCGAUUAAAUCCCCUCUUGUAUAUAUUCAUUUUACUUUUCGUAAUUUUCUCUCUUAGCUUCUUAUUUAUGUUUGUAGCUGCUUGUUCUGAACGUUUGCAAUAAGCCUUUGGUUUUCUUAAUGCAACGGUUCUUUCCAAAGGUGGAGUUUGUGUGAACCGGAUGGCUCUUACCAAUGAUGGAUGGUGUGACAACCUUCUUAAGGGUUUGAGUUCGUUUUCUUUUUGCUUUUUAGUAGUUAGUGGUAAGCGUACCUCAAGAAAAGUUUCACUUGGGCCUAGCACAUUUGCCUUUGAUCUCAUGGUCAAAAACAAAUUGUUGUGUUUAGGAUGGUGAAAGUCGUGACCUUGAGACUCUUGUGUUGACAGAUAAUCAUCAAGUGGUUUUUCGGUAGCAUUGUGUACUCAAAUCUUAUCUAAGGUUGUUGUGGGCCCCCGACUCUGUGUCUUUAGCAAUCCCAUAGCUUGUGUGGCGAUAAAUUGCAUUGCAAGUCCAAGUCCCGAGCCAUUGGUCUAGAACUUGCCCUGAAUGUUUGUUGAGGCGAUAUCCUAAGUGAAUUUUGACUUGAGACAUGAUUAUAGGCUCUCCUUGGUCCAAAUGAUAGUUUGAACACUUCCAUAUCCUACCAAUGAUAAGAUCCCUAGUCAACCCUUUUGAGUUUUAGACCUUUUUCCUUCAAAGAACCAUGAUACAAGCCUUUACCCGUUCUAAAAGAUACCCUCUCUUAGCACCUAAUCUUUUCUUUAGCACAUGGCAAAAGUAUAAGUUUGGGGGAAGAAACGAGGAUGGCAACAAAGUGGUAAAAAGGUAUAAAAUGAAGAAAAGGAAAAGCAAUGAAAAAGAAAGAAAAGCAAAAAAGACAAAAAGAAUGCUCAAAGUAGAAUUGAAUAAAAAGGGAUACAAGAAAAGCAAAGAAUGAAAGGUGUAGAAAGUUGAGAAAGGAGAAAAGAUUUGAAAUGUAUAAGAAAGAGUGACAAUGUGUCUCUCCAUCCCCUUAGAAAGAAGUGAAAGCACUCAAAAAGUCAAAUGAAUUUGAGCCAAAAUAAAACAAAUGAAGUGCAUAAUGGAAGAUGGAACCUACUUAGACCAAAUAUUACCUACCCCAAACCUAAAGCCUUCACUAUGUAUCCAUAAAAGCCCAAUAUGAUCUUGAGUUUAAUAAAACUUAAAUUACUGGUGACUCACAUAAGGGGCAAUCAUAUGGUACUUAGAGCCAGACUCGUGACUUUUCCUUGAGAGAGACGAGUGAUUUUCCAUUAACCUCAUUCUGAGUGCUACUAUUCUAAAGGUGAGGUUUGCUUAUGGGGAGUUGAGGAUGUGUGAGUUUGGGUUCCACAAUGACCAAAGUAAUAGAAAGAGUUCUUUGAUUUGUUGAGUCAACUCUUGAUGCUCUUGUGUUGCACUUAAUCCAUGGUGUUUCAAAGAGUAAAAUGUUGUUAAUGAUUAAUUUGUAUUGAGGGCAAUUGUUAUUCCCAAUUGAUGCUAGAUGAGGGCACUUUAGGACAGCUAAAUGUUCUUGGAAUUUUUCUUAAAGGGUGGGUUUUAUUUGUUUGCUUGAGGACAAGCAAAAGCUUAACUUUGGGGGAGUUGAUAACUAGGGAUUUAGAUUUAUUUUAUACUCCUUCUUGCUUAUGUUUUGAUUAGGAAUUUGUACAAAAUAGUCUCAAAAAGGCUCACUUUGAUCAACAAAGUGACAAGAUGCCAAAGAUCGACGCAAAAAGGAGUGAAACUUGCACAAGUACCAAGACAAUACAAGCUCAGGCAAAGCAGGUUCAAUGCGGCCGCACACCAUUCUGUGCGGUCCGCACAAGUGAGGUUCAGAGAAGGUGAUUUCCAAGCCAACAGGCAAUGCGGCCACAUGAGAUUUAAUGCAGCCCGCACUGAAGUCACUGCAGCCACACUUGAUUUAGUGCGUUCCACAAAACCAAUGAUUAGAGAGUACCAGAUUUGGAGAUUGAAGUUAAUAUGGUCCGCGCUCCAUUUCAUGUGGACCGCACUAGAAGCCAUCGGGGCCGUAGUCCAUUCUGUGUGGUCCGUAUUGGCCGAGUUUAGAGAGUUGGAUUCUCAGACGAGAGACUUAGUGCGGCCGCACUAGUCCCGUAGGGGAUUUUUUGUCCAGAUUUUUCAACUUAGUGUAAAUAGCUUCUUCUCCCAUUUUUAGAUCAUCAAAUAGUUUUCUCUUCAAAGCUGCGCUCGUGACUUCAUAGUUUUAGCUGUUUUGAGUAAUUUAGCUACAUUUCAACAUUGAAUCUUCUUGUUUCAUUUAGUAAUUAAUUAAUAUGAGUUUUUCUUCAUCUAUUUCUUUGUUUUCUUCUCUAAUUAUGAGUAGCUAGACCCAUAAACUAGGGUUUUGGCUCAACCCUAGUGUGGGUAAUUGAUGGGUCUUGUGUUUUCAGUCUAGAUUGACUAUGAGUGUUUGAUAUUUGGGCUAAUUUCAUGUUUAAUUGUUGAAUUGGUGGUUGCAAACACUAGUUUGUGUUUAGUUAGCUUUGGCUCUUCUUGAGAAAGAGAGCCUAAGUCUCUGAAAUUGGUCUAACAAGGAAUUGGGGUGUACUCAAGAGAUUGAUCGUCCCAACUAAAGGGUUAAACCUAGAGAUAGUAAUACCCGACUUGAACCUUGAUUGCUUGUGCAAAUUUGCAUACCCAAUUGGUCUUGAGAAAGUCAAUUCGGGCAAAAUCAAUCGAACCACCGAGAGGUAUAGAGUGGGUAAAAUCAUGCAACGGUUAUAUCAUAUUCCCAAAAUAUGUCAAUCAUGUCUUAGAUUCAAGUAACCAUCAAUUGACCACCUAGGUGAAAGUCACUACCCUAGUGCCUUUUUAACCAUUUGAACAACCCGCAAUAUUUUACUCUUAGCUUAUUCUAGUUUAAUUUAGCAUUGUAGUUUGAUAAAAUUAGAAGGAAAUCAAAAACCCAAAAAUGUUAAGAAGUGCAAUUUGGAACACAUACACAACUCUACUUUAGAUAAACACCCAACUCCAACUUCUAGCUCCCCGUUUAAAUCGAUCUCGACCUUAAUCGGAUAAAAGCUGCUUCGACCUCUCUCUCUACUCAAUAGUAGUACAGGGUUGGCCUCGAUUAGCAAUAUCAGAAGCAGGGUGCUGUCAAAUCUUUCAAAAAUGCUUUCCACAGGAGUAUUCAAACGGGCAAAAAUCGCUCGUAUCCGCUCACUUUAUCUUUGCACGAAAAUUCUUCGUGUUUUCGAGCAAAGAGGGGAAGCUGUGAGCACGUGAUUUUUACCCUAUAUGAAUUACUCCUACAGAAUCCUAAAGAAAUAGAUUUUUCUUUUUAAUUAUUUGCCCUUUUAGGAAUUUUUGUAGAAUUUUCUAAAUUAUUUGCAUUUUUCUGUGCAUGUUUAAUUUUAUUUAUAUCAUGAAAAUAAAAAAAAAUAUUCUGUAUUUGCAUCUAGGAUGUAUUUUUACAUUUUUGGUUAAUUAGUAAAUUAGUUGUUUUAUAAAAAUGAAAAAUCACAAAAAAUGACUCACUUUGCAUUUUAACUUUUUAAUUUUAAAUUUUAUAGUUCUUCUUUUAAUUUAGGAGUUAAUUAAUUUUUGUAAAUAAUAUGAUGAGUAAUUAGCUUAAUUUUGUAAGUUAAUUUAGUUUAAGAGUUAAUUAAUGUUUUAAUUUUAAUUGAAAAUAAAAGAAAAUUUGUAAAUUGAAACGAAAAAGGAAAGAAAAUGAAGAAGGCUGUUGAGUUUUGGGCCAAAUUGGCAUAGCCCAGGUAAAUUUUCCCCAACCCGUUCAAAAUCCAGCCCAAACUUCACCCCAUACCCGGUCCAAAUCCCAGCCUAACCAAACGACCCUGUUUUUGACCCCUCUUAUCCGAGCCGUUGAUUUCAUUUAAUCUAAGGACUAGAACUCCUCACCAUACCCUAAUAUAUAUGUCUGAACAACCCCUUACCCCCACCCCCCGUUUCCAAACGGUUCCAUUCUCACCUUUUCAGAUUUAGAACCAAGCCCUAGCGCCACCCUAACACCCCUCACCCUCUUCGGUGGAGGCGCCAUCCCAAACCGCCUACAAAAUUACACCCCAUAACCCCUAGCCUCUCCUCUUCCCAAAACCCGGAACUAUUUCCCUCGAAUCCCUCUACAUCUACUCGAAUUGUGAAUCUAAUGUCAAACCCUAAUUUGCUUCCUUUUCAGAAUUUAAAGUGUUUUUUUAGGGUUUGCUUUGAGUUGAAGUUUAUGUUGAUCAAUUGUUCUUGAUAAGAACAAUUGAUUAGUAUUGAGUUUAGCUCAUUUCAAGCCCCAUCGAAAACCUAAAUAUGGCCGAGAUGUCUUGCAUUGUUGGUUCAUGCAUGAACGGUAGAUUUCACCAUUGAUUCCUCAUUUCUCUGGUGAGUCGAUUGUUUUCCCAUUUUGAUUAAUCCAUUAAUUUAGGUGUGUUCAUCUGAGAGUCCUUCUUGUUAAUCUUCUUAUUAGGCUAAUUAGGUUUUGGUUCGAUUUGUUAGUCUAGUUUUAUUCUAGUUUAUUUAGUUUAGUCUAAUAAGUUGUUUGUUCAGUCAUGUUUUGAUUUUGAAAUGAUGUAAUAUUGGAUUUGCUUCCUUUUCUUAUUUUCAUAAACCACUGAAGUUGAUUUUAUUUGGGUCAUUUCGUUUGAAUGGGCUUGGGGGUCAUCUUUGACCCGGUUUCAAGGGAAGCCCGGUCAUUUUGGGUUGGUUUUGGGUACUGGUUAAUUGGACCCAUGAGCUGUUGUUACCUGAAGGUAAAUAACAGAAUUUUAAAGGGUACUUAGGGCAUUUUCAUUAGAGUAAUCUUUCACAACUGCCUGGGAAACUUCCAGGAAGUUAGGGAAAGGGGCUGGUUUGGCAAACAGGUUUAAAACUUGGGGUCUGAAAUAAAAAAGUGAUAAAUCAAAGAAGGGGUAAUUGGUAAAACCUGAAACCCAUUCUGCUGCCCUAGAGGUCUUCUAUAAAAGGCAUGUUUUCUUUCUUUUCAAGGGGAAAUGGAGAGAAUACAAUAUAAAAACUUAGAAACAGCUGAAAACUUGUUCUAAAAAUAUAGAAGUUUCUGCACCAUUUUGAGGUCAAAUUGCUGGAAUUGGGUUUUAAUCUGACUUUUAGCAGUAAUCAAAGAGUUUUCACAGCUUUUUCUUGAUCUAUUUGGUAUUCAAAAUGGUUUGAAGAAACUGGUUUUCCUGAGUUGUUGAGCUGAUUCUGCUACUGCUGCUAAUUCCUCAUUCUCCUUGUUUUUCUUUAACUUCCAGGUAUCUUUUGGACGAUGGAUAACACAUGAAGUGUAACAUGGAAUUUGAAUGUAGAAAUAUGAUGAACACAACCUAUUUCUUGUUGAAUUUUACUUUCUGUAUUCUUCACUAUUCACAACCUGUAAUAUUUUAAUUUUAGAUGCAUUGUUGUUAGUCUUUUUCAUGUUAUGGAUGUGAUGCCAUAUUGUUAAUUGAAAUUUUAGUUCCUCAAUGUCUCUUAUUAGUUGUUAGUUUGGUUUUUACAUGUCAUGGAUAGGGAAAAUGUUCUAGGCUACUACACUAAGGGUCGAUCCAUAUGCUAAAUUUCUCUUGGUUUGCGUUUAAGCAUGUUUAAAGUUGGUUUGAUGUUUAAAUUCAGGUUUGUUUACAUGACAAUCUCAUGAGGUUUGUUUGCUAUUGUAUGUGUCAAAGAAGGGUUUAAUUGAGAUUUAAAUCUCACACAAUUGUCUAUAAGUUAGAUGGGGAUUGAAUUAAAUGUGAUUGGUGUACAACUAUGUAUUGAUGGAAGCCAAUCAGGGUCAUGUUGAUAACCUUGAGUUUCAAAGGCCGUUUAUAUAUUGUAUCGACUCGAUCUCGAGUCCUUCAUUCCCCAGCCUCUAUUUUUUGAAGAGAUUUGGUUUGUUCUUUGGGCUUAAACUCAGGACCGCUCGUAAAUGGGGAUUUGUAUGUUUUAUGGUGCUUGGGCCUUAUUUUCGAGCCCAGUAUCUCAUUUAACUGCUACUGUCGGGUUUUGCCUACAACAGGCCUGGCCCAAACGCAUGAAAGCCUAGCGUAACUUCAGUAGUUAUAUAAAAAUAGCUUUAAAUCUUAAGUUAAAGUAUUUCUUUUAGUUAAAUUGAGAUGUGCCAUUUUCACUAUAUCACCCAUGGCCCUCAUAUGAAUUUUUAAUUUAGUUUUAAAUAACCUUUAAUACUGGUAGAUUGCUUUAAGCGCGUAAUGAUUAAUUCUAGAUUGCCUCCAAAAACACCUAUUCCCUUUUAGACUUGAGUUAUGCCAUAAGAAAAGUUAGAUAACCCAUGGCCCUCAGACAAUUAAUACUAACUCUUCAUAAAAUCGGGGUGUGCCAUCAAUUAAACUUUCCAUGGCCCUCGCAAACUAAGUUAUUAAUUUGAAUUUUCGUAGUUUGCUUUAGGCACGUUCUAUAAAUUGGUUCUCUUUUAUUUAUUAAUUUUGGGUGCACAUUUCAUGUGACCCGAAUUCAAUUCUUAACAAUGUUAAAUAUAACGUGUCGCGAACCGCAGGUGCAUUUCAUGGGGCGUGGUUCAAGACGUGUUUUAAAUAACGUUGAAUCUUCUAAAAAUUAUUAAAAGCGGUUAGAGAGUUAAAAAUGCACAAUAGGUUUAAAACGUGUAAAAAAUCAAAUAAUUAGGCCAAUAAUAAUAGUUGAGCGACCGUGCUAGAACCACGGAACCCGAAAAUUCCUAACACCUUCUCCCGGGUUAACAGAAUUCCUUACCCGAAUUUCUGUGUUUGCGAACUAUGAAAUAGGGUCAAUCUUUCCUCGAUUCGGGAUUUGAACUGGUGACUUGGGACACCAUAAAUUAUCCCAAGUGGCGACUCUGAAUUUUUUAAAUAAGUAAUCCCGUUUUGAUUGUCACUUAAAUUGGAAAAAACUCCCUUAUACCCUUAUGGGGGUAGUAAAAAGGAAGUGUGACAAUCCUUUAGGCCAAAAAACCUAGGACCCCCCAUCUUAUUCCUAUUUAUCUGUGAGUCAAGUGUUUGUAUUUAUUUAAAGUCUGUUGAUAAUAAAACUUCCCAAACUUCUUGCUUUCUUUGUCUUUGUUUAUCUGACUAAUUCAUGUAACUCAAGUUCGGCCAGGAUCCACAGUUGUGGACGUCGAAGAGUGCCUAAUACCUUCUCUUCGAGGUAAUUUCGAGCCCUUACCUGAUCUUUGGUGAUGCAAACUAGUCAGCUUGAGUCACUUGCACAUAGGUGCCCUAACGCACCUUAAAAAUCGUUAUGUGGCGAUUCUCCUCUUUAAAUACCUCCUUAAAAGAGUUGUCACACGUCGAAACCUGAUUUCGUGAGAAAAAGGGGCGUGACACCCUCAUGAUUUGGGUUAAAUCAAUAUCCAAAAUUGCCCUCGUCCGCUCCUCAAGCCUCAAAAUUUGUGAAAAUGAGCUCAAAAUCAAGAAAUUAGGCAUUGCAUACCAAUGCCAGGGCUCCAUCUUCGUGAUCAUGUUCACCAACCUUACGAUCGUGGUUCAAAAAAUGCCCAACAAAAGUUUACCCUUCGCGAUCGCGGCCAAGAACCUCCGCGAUCGCAAUGAACAAAUUCGAACAAACAUGCUCAACUCUUUCAUGAAUAAUUCUUGUGUAAUGGAGAUAACUUAGUAUAGAAAACUCCAACUGACAAAUGUUUUAAUUUUGUGAUAACUAGAGACAAUGGGCUACAAGUCUUGUUUUUGGAUCAUCUCCAAAUUCCUUAUGGAUUGAAAGAUAUUAGCUCCGGAAAUCAGCUUAGUGACAUAAAAACUUUCUUCUACGUUAUCACGAAGAUGACAACUAUGAUCUCGAUUUACAAGACCCAAACAACAAUUUACUCUUCACGAAUGCGGCUCAAAGGUCCACGUUCAUGAUUCAUACACCUGUAACAAAAAACCAGCAACUGAAAAGGGUCUAGAAAUGGAUCGAAACCACCCCGAAACUUAUCCGACCCCUCGGGACCCCGUCCAAUCAUACCAACAAGUCCAAGUACAUCGUCCAAACCUAUACAAAGGCUAGAAACACCACAGAUAACAUUAACACCAAGAAUCAAAGAUCACGAUCUUUAUCUUAACUUUUAAAACUUCAAUCUUCGCCAAGCGAGUCCGAAUCAUACUUAAACAUUUUGAAUCACAACCAAACUCUGCAUACAAGUCAGAAAUGACAAAAAUGAACCUAUUCCAACUUCCGGAAUAACAAUUUGAGCCUGAUAACAUUGAAGUCAACCUUCGGUCAAACUUAUGAACUUUCCAAAUUUUCAAAUUCCCAAGUUUCGAUGAAUAAGCCAAAAUCUUCUAGGAACAUCUAAAUUCUAAUUCGAACGUACGCCCAAGUACAAAUUCACAAUAUGAACCUAUUGAAACUAACAAAUCUCAAUUCUGAGGUUGUUUACUCAAAAGUCAAACCUUAGUCAUCUCUUCCAACUUAAGACUUCCACAUUGAGAAUCACUCUAUUAAUUCAAUUCCGAAACACUCAAAAAUAAAAACCAACCUUGCAUGCAAUUCAUAAUACACCAUAUGAAGCUACUCAUGACCUCAAACGACCAAACUGAAUACUAAUGUUGAAAAUGACCGGUCGGGUCAUUGCAUCCCCCCUAUUUAAACAUACUUUCGUCCUCUAACAUGCAAUCUAAGCAUUACCUCAAUCCAGCAUGUCAACAUAAUCUAACUGAAGAAUCUUUCUUCAACCAUAGUCCAUAAACCUUAGAACCCAAUAUCCAACAUCUGGAGUUCAUUAUAAGAUCCUAUUCUCGCAUCUAUACAUUGUAUCAAUUCAAACAAAGUGCAUCAAUCCAUAAUCAUAUUCCAAGAUAUAAUCCAUAACCCAUUACUAAACCCGGUAUUGGUAAUAAGCCUCAUUUCAAAUAAAACAUUGUUCCAAACCUUUGUACACUGUUAAAGAUGAAGAAACAUAUCAAAAGUCAUAACCACUCAUCAGAUCAACAAGAGGAGGAGCUCUCUCGCUCGACAAGAACUAUUACCAAAUUCUAAGUUAACUAAUGACAUUCCUCAAGAGUUAGUUAAUUAAUAAGGCAAUACGGAAACAAUAACUUCAACUAAGCAUGUAAGGGCAAUUAAUAAGUAAAAUAUGGGACAAGCAUUUAACAAUGUCAUAUAAGGCAUGUAAGGUUAAAUUAAUGAUGAAAGAUAUAACAUGUUAUGACAAAGCAAUUAAAGACAUGAAAGGAAGCUAAAUAGCCUAAAUCGGUCAAUUACCACAUAUAGGCUGUGUACCAACUCGUCACCUUGCAUACACGGCUUUUACAUGCCACAAUUAACACAAAAAACUCCAAUCCUAAGGGAUAAUUUCCCUACACAAAGUUAGGCAAGUACUUACCUCAAACAAGCUAACUCAAUCCACUAGUAAGCCUUUUCCACGAAUAUCAAACUCUGAACGACUCGAAUCUAGACAAAAUAACUUCAUACUACAAAUACAAACC